UUAAGUCCCGCAACGAGCGCAACCCUUGUCAUUAGUUGCUACAUUCAGUUGGGCACUCUAAUGAGACUGCCGGUGACAAACCGGAGGAAGGUGGGGAUGACGUCAAGUCCUCAUGGCCCUUAUAGGUGGGGCUACACACGUCAUACAAUGGCUGGUACAAAGGGUUGCCAACCCGCGAGGGGGAGCUAAUCCCAUAAAGCCAGUCGUAGUCCGGAUCGCAGUCUGCAACUCGACUGCGUGAAGUCGGAAUCGCUAGUAAUC
RNAcentral lists this ribosomal RNA (261 nucleotides) under beta proteobacterium BC2_NA1B5. RNAcentral describes it as "partial 16S ribosomal RNA". It matches the Rfam family "Bacterial small subunit ribosomal RNA", at positions 1080 to 1343 of the family's 1533-position model. Lineage: Bacteria; Pseudomonadati; Pseudomonadota; Betaproteobacteria. The record is from RNAcentral.